This 228-nucleotide small RNA is filed under the name Histoplasma capsulatum var. duboisii H88. Its description in RNAcentral is "Histoplasma capsulatum H88 hypothetical RNA". The record is from RNAcentral. Lineage: Eukaryota; Fungi; Ascomycota; Eurotiomycetes; Onygenales; Ajellomycetaceae.
AACAUUGGGAGGCCUUGAUCUCUUUUCCCCUCAAGGUUCUACGCAAGCAAGCGUCUCUUAGUCUAACUGUCCACUUAUUCUCAAUGGUUUCCCUUCUUCCCACCUUUCAGGGGGAGUUUUCAUUGUGUUUUGAAUGAAUAUAGUUAAUAUAUGCACUCCACCAAGGGCCCUUGCUUGUAAAAUAACUCUGAGAUUCCCCAUUAUUUUCAAAUUUUUCUUUUCCUUUCA